Long non-coding RNA from Lolium perenne, 6351 nucleotides. RefSeq lists it as uncharacterized. The record is from RefSeq and is a predicted model, not a curated record. NCBI's taxonomy places the organism in Eukaryota, Viridiplantae, Streptophyta, Magnoliopsida, Poales, Poaceae.
CCAUAGGGGGACUCACAACGAUUUGCGGCUCGUGGCCGUUGGAUCUUCCUUAGAACCGAUCUCGGCCGUUCAUCUUUGUUACUAUGUGGUAUAAAAGAAGCAGCCCAAACGGUGGAAACCCUAGCCGCCGGCCCGCCAAUCCCUGGUGUUCUCGUCCUCCCCAAUCCUCUCCUGAGCUCUUCCGCCCCCAAUCGCUCGCCUCUCUCCCCUCAGUACGAGCUCCGCGUUGUCCCCGUCGUCUUCGGCAAAGGAGGCCAGGCUGCAGACCUCCGGCUCGUGCUGCUCCGCGCGAGUAGCAGCAGCGCGGGGAGAGGCCCAGCCACAGGCACACCCCGGCGGCGGCGUUGCAGCUCCCAAACCCUAGAUCGACCGGCCUUCCAUGGUGCUUUGCUGGCCGUGACGAGCUCGAGAUGGAGCGUAGGGAUGUCAUUCAUGUCGUUGUUCUCUAGGUGGCCGGUUCUUCCUGCGCCUCUGCUCCUCCUCUGUUUCGUCCUUCUCGCGCCGUUUGCUGCAAGUUCAUCUCUGUGCAAGAGGAUGAAGGCCCCAUCCAUGGAGCGACCACGAUGGGUAGCAUCACGGAGGUCUGCCUUCCUCCGGGUAUCUCUCUCAGGAUCCCCUUGUGGCAACUCGGGAAGAAGGAGAACAAUGGUGUCUCCAUGUAUAACAUGCCGCCGGUUUGAGUUGGUGGAGGUUUGGGAAGAGUCCAGUUUCCUGCUCCUCUGCCACUUCCUCCACCAGAUCAGCACGACAAGAAUGCUUUUCUACAGCUUGCAGAAAUUCUUAAUCAGGGAUGAUUGGUGAAUAAAUGAAAUUGUCAGUAUUUUCUGAAUAGCUCAAGAAAGGGGAAGAGAAGGAGAAUAUGGCAUGGCAGAGAUUUGGUGGAGAUAACUGUAAGUGCAGCUACCUAUGUAAUAUCUUUUUUCUUUUGGCAGGGCAGAGAUUUGGUGUGUUAGGAAUUGUGGGAAGCCAUGAUGGGUGCUGGCCACAAUUUGGGUUUAUUUGAAAUUUUGGAUGCACACGCAGGUAACUAUUUUUUUGUAAGAUGAUUGUGAAAAUGUGAAGAUAUAUGGAUUGUAGUGGUGUAGUUGCAAUAGACAGAAUCUGCAGAUAAGUACUGCCUCCGUUCCAUAAUUCUUGUCUUGGUUUUAGUUCGAGAAUUAUCACGAUAGGAAUUAUUGAACAGAGCGAGUAAUACUUUUAGCAGGGGCAAUCUAAUUAAGUUGGUCAAAUGUAUAGUAUCUAACUGAAUAUUUGAAGCAUUGCUGAGCACUAAUUGAUAUCAAUAUGAAGUGCAUCACUGAAACAGAACAGUGCGCAUACCAUCAUGUAGAAAAUAUAAUUGUACGUAUCUUCAGAUGAAGGCAGUUUUAGAAAAUAUUUUAGGGAACACCUAUUUCCUUUUUGUUUUAUCUGAAGCAAACCUCUAAAUUUUCCUUACACAUGAAAUGAUUUACUUUGACUACACGAGAUUGAGUAUUUAGUGUGUUUGAUUUGACGUCAACAUCUUAAAAUUAACUCACACUGUUUUUAUAGAAGGAAUUGCAAUUACAGUAAUAAUGGCGUGCACCUUGACUCGUAUUUGUCGCAUGAAACAGUGUCUUCAGUGAUACCUGUCUCCGAUGACCACACCACAUUGUGGUUUGUCUGUUGUUCACCUUCUCGGUCUGCUGUUGCUAGGGAUUGGUUGGCUUAAUGGCUCUCUUUUAUUUUUGGCUGUUGCUAGGGAUUGGGUGGCUUAAUGAAUUGUGUUGAUGCUCCUGCGCAUCUUAUGUGGAUGUUGCAUCUCAUGUUCGUUGUAUGUGAAUGCCUUUUGAGUUGCUAAGUUGUGUAAUUAAAUCUACUCUACUGUACCUUGCCCAUGAAACUGACUAUUGCAAGCUCCAAUUAUGGAUGGUGCAUACGCCGUUCACCGUGCUCACCAUAUGUGAGAAUGUCUGGUCGUUUGUUAAGUUAUGUAAAUAGAAGAUCUAGCCAACAGGAAACAUACUACUUUAAGUUAAUGAUUAUUGUCUCUAUUUUGUUUCCUGUGCUUAUUUGUCAUGAAGCAAUUAUCUACUUUCCUCUUGUGUGGUUAGUUUCUAGGUUUAUUAUAAAAUUUGUACCUCCGCAAGUAGCUUCAUCUUGGCUUACUCUAGAAAUUUCCUUGACGCUAUUAUAUAUCAGUCUACUACUGUUCAGCAGACUUGCCUCCUUUUGAGUUGUAAAUUAGUCUCUAGGAUUUCCUCUCUGUCUAUAUAUAUCCCCUACAAAUAUACCAUGUCAGACUGUUAGCUGCUACCAUGUUUCAUAUGAUCACUAUUCUCUGUAUAUUAGAUAAAGAAACCUACCAUGUCUCACAUGUGUGCUAUUUCGUCGACACUCCUCAUUCCGUCUAUUCAAAAUGGGUACCCAUACGUAUAGCAGGAAAGGAGGAGAAUACCUCAGCACCAUAGGUUUUUUUUUUCUAAUAGAUACGUGGUUAUUAUAGGAUUAUACAAAAUGGUUAUUAUAGGAGAAUAACUCAGUGCGAAAAUUUUAUCAUCCGGUAGUGCUAAGUAUACUAGAUUAACCAUCCUCUUUGGAGAUGCUUGUGUUGUUGUCUUAUGGAGAAAAUAGCUUAUCUUAUUAUUUAUAAGCAAGCGUGCUGGAUAGCUUAGUUGAAGAACAAUUCCUGAGACUAAAACAAAAGACUUCUAGGGCUAUACCACAUGAAGAGCAGGACAAGAACAGCUCUUAUUUCUUCUUUUCUUUUGCCUGCUCGAAAUGACUAAUUUUUCCCUCAUAUGUAGAUGCAAAACAUUCUACAAAGUCCAUAGAUACUCGGUUUUGAGAAACUUAAAUUUGGUUAUUACUUCUCUAUUUUCCCUAUAAGAAUAUGUUCUCUCUCACACACAUCAAAUAGCACAUACACAAGCAAGCCAAGCAUACAUCAAUUUGCUUCAGAUUUUUGGUACUUUCAACUGCAAAGUAUUACCUGACUGGUUGGGGAUUUGGGGACGUGUCAAACUGGUUGGCGAUGGACUUUGGUCUUCUAUGCAAUUUCUCAGUGGUGAUGACGGUACAAAUGCUCCUGGUAUUCCAGGUGUCCAACCUGACCUCGCGCUAAUUGCCACUUUCCGCUGAUUGAUGUAUUGAUGUCCAUGUACCUCAAAGGAAUUGUCUGCAUGUUGUCCAAGGGUACCAAUUUAAGCCCUGCAGUAGUCUGCGAGCGGGUAGGUUCAAAUUUUGAAUCAAGUUGACUUUCAUCUUUAGAGGAGACUAUACAGAUCCUUUUUCUAUGUUACUCCAUGUUAAGAAUGGAAUCAAACUAAACUAGCUUCAUACAGUACUUCAGUAGAUGUUAACUCAUAAAAAAGAAGGAACCUAUAUUACCCAUGUUAGUCUGUAGCUAUUGUUGAAACAGACAAUCAAAUGAGAUAGUGCUACUAAUGUUGCCUCUAUUUUAUUCAUUCGCUGAUAUACAGCAGGUUUUUUUUUAGUUUCAGGUUUCUGUUCGAAAUAAGUAUCCUAUUUUGCUCUCCUGUUUUCAAGUCGUGUCCAUGGUUGGGUUGUUUAUUUCACUGACGUGUGGCCAAAGUGCAAAUUCCUUUGGUUACGGAGGAUUUUGUCAAACGAAUACUAAGCUCCAAGAAUUAAUUGCUAAAACCAAAGUUAUAUAUAGCUCUGUAUAAAGUUCAAACUUACCUCUGUGCAUGUUCGAAUUUUCUUUUAUAAUAAGUUUUUAGAAGUGAUAUUAUAAAAUAGAGCCAAAAUUAUAUUUAUAUUUCUCUGCAUCUGAUGCAAAUAUUAGACAAAUUGGAAGCUACUCUAUGGAAUAAUAAAUGGGAGAACUCUAUACCAAGGAAAAAGUCUGGGUAACCUUGGAAUCAAAGAAAGAUGGUAGGAGACUUCGUACACUAUCCUCUCAUGUCUUUCUUUCGUAGCAUUUGGUGAUGCUGACAAGGAACAAUCACUCAGCUAGGUUUCCUUACAAUUUAGUCCUAAUAUAGAAUAACUACGAAUGGUAGAAUUCUAUUCCCGCUUGAUAUUUUCCUGACAUCUAUAUAGUAUUGUAGAACCAUUUUACGUUAUGAAACUUUUGUAUUGAUAUUUUAAAUUAUUAUUCUAAUGUGCUAAGAAAUAUUAGCACAUUCUAAGCUAAUGCUUUCUUUAUUUUUUGUUUCCUAAACCAAAAUAGAAGGCGAGUAUGUGCCCUUUCUGUUUCAAUGGCAUACUGAGCCUCUAAAGCGAGUUUCUGCUCUUUCUGUUCAUGCUUUAUAGCUUUGCAUUUCUUAUUUUUUGUUCAUGCUUUAUAGCUUUGUAGUCUGUUGUCAAUCAGGGCCUAAUUGAUGCAUCCCUGACAUUUGAUUUGAUUUGUCCUGUUUUUCUCUAUAUUUAGGUUCUAGACUAGCUAGCUAGCUUGCUAGAGUUGAACCUGCCUCUCAUCAAUUGGCAAAGAUUCACUCUUGUUUCUUAUCCUUUCAUAAAUCAGAAGGCCAUAUCAUUUUGGAACUGUUUGAGUAUUACUGAAUGGUGUUCUAAAUAUUCCUUCUUCAUUGGCCACUGGAUUAUCUAUAUCUUGGACUGCAGAUAAUGCUCUUUUCUUUGCUAUUAAAUUUGUUGCUAUUGUUACUAACACCAUUAGUCAAAAUUUAUGGGAUCUGUUAUGUCGCCAUGAUAAAUAUUAAAACAGAUACCCCUUUCCUAAUCAGUUCAUCAGCUUAUUUAUUAUUUAUUUACUGAAAAGUUAGACUAAGCUUUGAUGUGUUUAUUUGCUUUGUUCCCAAUGAGGUCAGCAAAUUUGGCUGUUUCACUGAAAACUGAUCAACUGUUGGAACUUUUUGUUGCUGUGUCACAAAUUGCAUUGACUGAGAUUUUUUGAUAUUCAGACAAUUGAGUGUCAAUACUAAUAUUCAGGAGAAACUGUGCAUUACAAUUUUUUUAAUCUGAUUUUUUAACCUACUGAUUAUGUAAUAUCUUUUUGCCAUAAUCUAUACACAGAGCUAUACUCACUAGAUCUGAUUUUUUUUGUGUUAGUUUCUUAUGAUAGCAUGAUUGUGCUUAUGCAAUUAGAAGAAUGGCUUAUACAGUAAUCAGAGUAUGUCUUGCAUCAUGGUGAGGUGGUCUUCUAUACUGAUUUUUCACCAACUUAAUUUUUUAAGUCAUAGCAUAAGCAUCUCCGAUGACGAGCAUGUAUGCUGAAAUAUGCAGAGACAUCAUUUGUUUUUAACCUCUUUUCUUGUAUGUAAUAUGAAGUAGUGAAUAGUGCAUUUCCUGGAGAUUUGCGAUCUUUUUAACCUCUUUUAUUGUAUCUGAUAUAAUCAUUUUAAUUUCUUACUCUGAACUAUAAUAGGUUUAUUGACAAUAUCAAAGGUACUAAGCUCUACUGUGUAAAUCAGAUUGCACUGUUGUGUAGGAUCCCCUGAAUCAGUCCGGCAACCUGGGAAGAUAUUGACAGAAUACGAUGUGCUAGAUCUUCCACAAUAAAGAGAUAAUGUAUAUCACUAAAACAGUCUUGACUUGUGCUUGCUGUGACUUUGCCGUUCAUAGAAGUUGCACGGACUAAGGUGUUUGAAGCAUCAACUUCUGUGUUUAGAGAAGAGGAACAAAAAGGUGUAUUGAGCUGUUUUUUUUGCAGGCCCAAAUCAGCAUGGACUGCUAUAUAUAUUUGGAUAUCAUCUAUGUACAUUAGAAGGAAAAACACUAGAAGGAAUUCAGAUAUCAGCUAUGUACAUUAGAAGGCAGAAUUCUAGAAGGAAUUAAUCACAGCUAAAUCUCCAUGUGCCCAACCGUGGAGGUGGUGAGGAAGAUCUUGCAGCGAAGUAAGACCUCCAUGUGCAGCUAUGCCAUCACCGUUCAGGGCGCCACUGCCGCCGACCUCAGUGUAAGAAGAAGUCCACCUACAGACCAUAUGCUAGCUGAUUAUUGUAUCAUUAUUAGUGGGUACUUUCAGGUCUCUAACAGAUGAAGUUCAGGUUUUUGCUCUCGGCUAAAUAUACAGAAUGAAGCUGGAGUCUUAGGCAAUCUUCAACUCAGUUUUUCAGCAGUGAAUUUCACAGUUUUUAGCCAAUGUAAUAAAGGACUUAAAGUAAUCAUAUCCUGUAUUGAGCAUUGACACCGAAUGAACAAUACAAUAUAGUGAUCGCAGAGCUAGAAUUUCUGUUUAUUGCCCGAUGUUGUUAAAUUAGAGGCAUUGUUUGAUGGAGUAGUGUUAACCCCAAGGUCUUCAUGGAACAUCUAUGUCAGUGUUUUAUUUAUGCUAUAUGUGAUUGCUUUUAGGUUGAAAGGCUUGAUAUUCAGUCCAGAAUGUUUUUCCUUGGUUCAAGAACUAUUGUGUGUGACAUUUAUGUACAUGUUUGCCAUGGAUUUGUUGUUGGCCACAUUGCCGCGUUA